Molecule: ribosomal RNA, 497 nt
Filed under: uncultured bacterium
Lineage: Bacteria
Description: partial 16S ribosomal RNA
Rfam family: Bacterial small subunit ribosomal RNA
Source: RNAcentral
GAUGAACGCUGGCGGCGUGCCUAAUACAUGCAAGUCGAGCGAACAGACGAGGAGCUUGCUCCUCUGACGUUAGCGGCGGACGGGUGAGUAACACGUGGAUAACCUACCUAUAAGACUGGGAUAACUUCGGGAAACCGGAGCUAAUACCGGAUAAUAUAUUGAACCGCAUGGUUCAAUAGUGAAAGACGGUUUUGCUGUCACUUAUAGAUGGAUCCGCGCCGCAUUAGCUAGUUGGUAAGGUAACGGCUUACCAAGGCAACGAUGCGUAGCCGACCUGAGAGGGUGAUCGGCCACACUGGAACUGAGACACGGUCCAGACUCCUACGGGAGGCAGCAGUAGGGAAUCUUCCGCAAUGGGCGAAAGCCUGACGGAGUAACGCCGCGUGAGUGAUGAAGGUCUUCGGAUCGUAAAACUCUGUUAUUAGGGAAGAACAAAUGUGUAAGUAACUAUGCACGUCUUGACGGUACCUAAUCAGAAAGCCACGGCUAACUACGUG